CAGGAGAGAGAAGCGAGAAGCCAUCUUGGCAGUAGCAGAGAGAGAGAACUGCAGCAGAAUUUCCUGACCUGGGAUAUUUGUGAAGAGGGGCCAUUUAACAGCGAUGUAAUAUCAGCGAUGCUGGAGGGAAGUGAGUGCAGGUCCCAACUACAGGGAGAGCCCACUUGAGAAGGCUGAGAGGAGGCACAGACAAGGGAGGUGCAAUGAUAGAGUCUAUUCCGGCCCCACACUCACAUCAGCCUUAAUAAAGUGAGAGGACGUCCUGUGUCUUGAACUUACCCAUCGGAAAGCAUAGAUUCAGUGCUUUCCUAUGGGUAAAAUCUCAUGCGCUUUCAUUUCUUGACAUGAAUGUGAAUUAGGUUCGCCCAUCAGCAUCAUGGAGCGAUUCAGCGCAGAGAUCAGUGCUGGAAAGCAGUACGUUUAAAAAAAAAAGAAGUUUUUUUUAACCCUUUAAUCAAUGGGUGUGAUGGGGUAGGGCCUCAGUGGCAGAGGGACACACUAGCGUUAGGAAUACAGUUCUAUUUCCCUACUGCUAUACUGUUUAUAUAAUGCAUAUGCUCAUCGAGUAUACAGUAUAACACUAUUGUGCUGGAUAUUUUAGUUGCGCAGUACAGUUAAAAUGACUUGGCUAUACUGACACCCAGUGGUUCAAAGUGGUGUUAAAAAGGUUAAUUUUUUUUUUUUCAAUUUGACAAUUUUUAUUAAUUUUCGGAUAAUGAAACUGGGGUUGCAGAAAGGAAAAAGGGGGGAGGGGAAAGAAUCAAUAGCAUUCCAGUAAGACAUUUCCCUCAUUCACAGUUGGAUUAAGCAUUUGCGUGUUCCCAAUGAGUCUUGUCGUGCUCUCAUGUGGUGCUUAUCUUGGCUAUUGUUUCUUCCUGUUGUAAAAG
This is a non-coding RNA of Pelobates cultripes (western spadefoot toad), 887 nucleotides long. Lineage: Eukaryota; Metazoa; Chordata; Amphibia; Anura; Pelobatidae. The record is from the annotation of a GenBank genome assembly.